This 644-nucleotide ribosomal RNA is filed under the name uncultured bacterium. RNAcentral's name for it is "bacterial SSU rRNA". It matches the Rfam family "Bacterial small subunit ribosomal RNA", at positions 75 to 713 of the family's 1533-position model. The record is from RNAcentral.
AAAGCUUGCUUUCCUUGAUGACGACUGGCGCACGGGUGAGUAACGCGUAUCCAACCUUCCCAUAACUACGGGAUAACCCGUUGAAAGACGGCCUAAUACCGUAUGACAUCGUUUGCUGACAUCAAAUAACGAUUAAAGGUUUAGCGGUUAUGGAUGGGGAUGCGUCUGAUUAGCUUGUUGGCGGGGUAACGGCCCACCAAGGCUACGAUCAGUAGGGGUUCUGAGAGGAUGGUCCCCCACAUUGGAACUGAGACACGGUCCAAACUCCUACGGGAGGCAGCAGUGAGGAAUAUUGGUCAAUGGGCGAGAGCCUGAACCAGCCAAGUAGCGUGCAGGAAGACGGCCCUAUGGGUUGUAAACUGCUUUUAUGUGGGGAUAAAGUGCGCGACGUGUCGUGCAUUGCAGGUACCACAUGAAUAAGGACCGGCUAAUUCCGUGCCAGCAGCCGCGGUAAUACGGAAGGUCCGGGCGUUAUCCGGAUUUAUUGGGUUUAAAGGGAGCGUAGGCUGUCUAUUAAGCGUGUUGUGAAAUUUACCGGCUCAACCGGUGGCUUGCAGCGCGAACUGGUCGACUUGAGUAUGCAGGAAGUAGGCGGAAUUCAUGGUGUAGCGGUGAAAUGCUUAGAUAUCAUGACGAACUCCGAU